UGAUCAUGGCUCAGAACGAACGCUGGCGGCAUGCCUAACACAUGCAAGUCGAACGAGACCUUCGGGUCUAGUGGCGCACGGGUGCGUAACGCGUGGGAAUCUGCCCUUUGCUUCGGAAUAACAGUUAGAAAUGACUGCUAAUACCGGAUGAUGUCUUCGGACCAAAGAUUUAUCGGCAAAGGAUGAGCCCGCGUAGGAUUAGGUAGUUGGUGGGGUAAAGGCCUACCAAGCCGACGAUCCUUAGCUGGUCUGAGAGGAUGAUCAGCCACACUGGGACUGAGACACGGCCCAGACUCCUACGGGAGGCAGCAGUGGGGAAUACUGGACAAUGGGCGAAAGCCUGAUCCAGCAAUGCCGCGUGAGUGAUGAAGGCCUUCGGGUCGUAAAGCUCUUUUACCAGGGAUGAUAAUGACAGUACCUGGAGAAUAAGCUCCGGCUAACUCCGUGCCAGCAGCCGCGGUAAUACGGAGGGAGCUAGCGUUGUUCGGAAUUACUGGGCGUAAAGAGUACGUAGGCGGCUAUUCAAGUCAGAGGUGAAAGCCCGGGGCUCAACCCCGGAACUGCCUUUGAAACUAGGUAGCUAGAAUCUUGGAGAGGUCAGUGGAAUUCCGAGUGUAGAGGUGAAAUUCGUAGAUAUUCGGAAGAACACCAGUGGCGAAGGCGACUGACUGGACAAGUAUUGACGCUGAGGUACGAAAGCGUGGGGAGCAAACAGAAUUAGAUACCCUGGUAGUCCACGCUGUAAACGAUGUCGAUUUGAAGGUUGUUCC
RNAcentral lists this ribosomal RNA (770 nucleotides) under uncultured bacterium. Its description in RNAcentral is "bacterial SSU rRNA". It matches the Rfam family "Bacterial small subunit ribosomal RNA", at positions 14 to 830 of the family's 1533-position model. The record is from RNAcentral.